GGCACGGAGAUCACUAUCUUUCAUAAAGCAAUGAAGAAUGGACAGGGAGAACUGCUGGCUGAAAAUAUGAGAAGCCAGCACAUCCUGAAAGAAAUACCCUAGAUCCGCUUAAUGGGAAACGAAGCAGCUGGAACCCUAAACAGUGAUGCCACUCUGUGCUGAUACACCUGACCCUCCACCAAUGAACUGGCCCAACUGGGGAAAUGGAAAAUGGGAG
This 217-nucleotide long non-coding RNA is filed under the name Homo sapiens (human). RNAcentral describes it as "HSALNT0323218". Lineage: Eukaryota; Metazoa; Chordata; Mammalia; Primates; Hominidae. The record is from RNAcentral.